GUAACUGGCGCCAUUAGGACCCGUUCCCACAGACUCAAGAUGGCCUGGUAGAUGCACCCGGCACGCGCCUCUCCUCCGACGGGAACCGAAGGAGACAGUAGGUUUUCGCACUUGCAGCAGAUCGGCUGAGAGAACGCGGGAUUCAGCCGAGAAGCCACAGGGAGCCCGAGGAGUGCAGCAAAGGCACCUAGGCAGCCUGCUCGGAGAAAUCGGAUCGGCGGGGACGGCCUGUAGCUCCUGCGCGCGGGGAAAGGGAAGAAGUCCUCCCCUACAAAGCGAGUUCACAAACUUGGAAGAAGCCACUUUCACAGGAUGCACAGAUCUCAACGGAAGGACACAGGAAACAUGAAAAAGCAAGGAAAUGGGCCGCCUCCAAAGGAACCCAGUAAUUCGCCAGCAGCAGAUCCCCAUCCAAAAGAAACACAAGAUAUUUUGGAGAGAGAAUUGAACAUA
Molecule: long non-coding RNA, 453 nt
Organism: Cercocebus atys (sooty mangabey)
Lineage: Eukaryota; Metazoa; Chordata; Mammalia; Primates; Cercopithecidae
Exons: 2
Source: RefSeq, a predicted model, not a curated record